Molecule: ribosomal RNA, 426 nt
Filed under: uncultured bacterium
Lineage: Bacteria
Description: bacterial SSU rRNA
Rfam family: Bacterial small subunit ribosomal RNA
Source: RNAcentral
GAACGAGAAAGUGGAGCAAUCCAUGAGUAAAGUGGCGACCGGGUGAGUAACACGUGACUAACCUGCCCUUGAGUGGGGGAUAACCUCGGGAAACCGGGGCUAAUACCGCAUAACAUCUUCGGGAUGGAAAGCCGAAGAUCAAAGGAGCAAUUCGCUUAAGGAGGGGGUCGCGGCUGAUUAGCUAGUUGGCGGGGUAACGGCCCACCAAGGCGAAGAUCGGUAGCCGGCCUGAGAGGGCGCACGGCCACACUGGAACUGAAACACGGUCCAGACUCCUACGGGAGGCAGCAGUGGGGAAUUUUGCGCAAUGGGGGAAACCCUGACGCAGCAACGCCGCGUGGAGGAUGAAGUCCCUUGGGAUGUAAACUCCUUUCGACCGGGACGAUAAUGACGGUACCGGUGGAAGAAGCCCCGGCUAACUUCGUG